Molecule: ribosomal RNA, 468 nt
Filed under: uncultured bacterium
Lineage: Bacteria
Description: partial 16S ribosomal RNA
Rfam family: Bacterial small subunit ribosomal RNA
Source: RNAcentral
GACGAACGCUGGCGGCGUGCUUAACACAUGCAAGUCGAACGGAAAGGCCCUGCUUUUGUGGGGUGCUCGAUUGGCGAACGGGUGAGUAACACGUGAGUAACCUGCCCUUGACUUUCGGAUAACUUCAGGAAACUCGGGCUCAUACCGGAUAGGAUCUCCUGCUGCAUGUUGGGGGUUGGAAAGUUUCGGCGGUUGGGGAUGGACUCGCGGCUUAUCAGCUUGUUGGUGGGGUAGUGGCUUACCAAGGGUUUGACGGGUAGCCGGCCUGAGAGGGUGACCGGCCACAUGGGGACUGAGAUACGGCCCAGAAUCCUACGGGAGGCAGCAGUGGGGAAUAUUGCACAAUGGGCGGAAGCCUGAUGCAGCAACGCCGCGUGCGGGAUGACGGCCUUCGGGUUGUAAACCGCUUUCGCCUGUGACGAAGAGUGAGUGACGGUAAUGGGUAAAGAAGCACCGGCUAACUACGUG